RNAcentral lists this ribosomal RNA (846 nucleotides) under uncultured bacterium. RNAcentral's name for it is "bacterial SSU rRNA". It matches the Rfam family "Bacterial small subunit ribosomal RNA", at positions 588 to 1431 of the family's 1533-position model. The record is from RNAcentral.
UNUGCUGUGAAAGGCUGGGGCUUAACCCUGGUUUUGCAGUGGGUACGGGCUAANUAGAGUGCAGUAGGGGAGACUGGAAUUCCUGGUGUAGCGGUGGAAUGCGCAGAUAUCAGGAGGAACACCGAUGGCGAAGGCAGGUCUCUGGGCUGUAACUGACGCUGAGAAGCGAAAGCAUGNGGAGCGAACAGGAUUAGAUACCCUGGUAGUCCAUGCCGUAAACGUUGGGCACUAGGUGUGGGGGACAUUCCACGUUUUCCGCGCCGUAGCUAACGCAUUAAGUGCCCCGCCUGGGGAGUACGGCCGCAAGGCUAAAACUCAAAGAAAUUGACGGGGGCCCGCACAAGCGGCGGAGCAUGCGGAUUAAUUCGAUGCAACGCGAAGAACCUUACCAAGGCUUGACAUAUACUGGACUGCGUCAGGGAUGGCGUUUCCCUUCGGGGCUGGUAUACAGGUGGUGCAUGGUUGUCGUCAGCUCGUGUCGUGAGAUGUUGGGUUAAGUCCCGCAACGAGCGCAACCCUCGUUCUAUGUUGCCAGCACGUGAUGGUGGGGACUCAUAGGAGACUGCCGGGGUCAACUCGGAGGAAGGUGGGGAUGACGUCAAAUCAUCAUGCCCCUUAUGUCUUGGGCUUCACGCAUGCUACAAUGGCCGGUACAGAGGGUUGCGAUACUGUGAGGUGGAGCUAAUCCCUAAAAGCCGGUCUCAGUUCGGAUUGGGGUCUGCAACUCGACCCCAUGAAGUCGGAGUCGCUAGUAAUCGCAGAUCAGCAACGCUGCGGUGAAUACGUUCCCGGGCCUUGUACACACCGCCCGUCAAGUCACGAAAGUUGGUAACACCCGAAGCCGGU